Molecule: long non-coding RNA, 545 nt
Organism: Bactrocera dorsalis (oriental fruit fly)
Lineage: Eukaryota; Metazoa; Arthropoda; Insecta; Diptera; Tephritidae
Exons: 6
Source: RefSeq, a predicted model, not a curated record
GCAUUUCUUACUCGCUGUUUUUCACUCGUUCUUUUGGAUCGAAGCAUGCUCUACGACACCGAUAUUAACAUCGUUCUUUUUCGUCUUGAAUUUCAUCGCGUGCACAUGUGUUAAUUCUUAAUGAAAAUUGGUGGCGCUCGGAGUCUAAAUUGACUAUGGAAAUGAUAAAAUCGAGAAUUGAAGGACGCAUUAUGAAAGUUUCCUGACGGAAUUUUUGUUUAAAAAAAAUUGGAAUGAAUAAAAAUGUAUCAACACAGUUACCUAAUAAGGUGUUACGGAUUUCCAUGAAUCCCUCCUGAUGCAAUGCUCGCAUAAAAUGAUACUCAUGAAAACGGUAAUGGAUUGACGUAGUAUCGCAACACAGGGAAGGACAACAAGUCGAAAACGGUCAUUCACAUAUGAUCAUCGAGAACUCAAAAUGGCGUAUUCUGGAUUUUGAAAAAGGUGCCAUCAUAUUUGGAAGGCCCGCGGCUAAGAUAAAAAUGAUGAAUAAAAGGUUUUGGAUUUCAAAAGUUGAAUUUAAAUAAAAUAUAUAAACAUACAAA